CAUGCCUGCAGUCUCUGCCC
This 20-nucleotide unclassified non-coding RNA is filed under the name Mus musculus (house mouse). Its description in RNAcentral is "oocyte_clustered_small_RNA2293". The record is from RNAcentral. Lineage: Eukaryota; Metazoa; Chordata; Mammalia; Rodentia; Muridae.